GCCAAUUAAGGUCUGUUGUGAUUGAGAUCUUGUAUCAUAUUUUUUUUGUCAUAAAGCACAGGCUGGCUGAAUUUAUUGACUUCAUACAGGGUGCAUACAUUAAGAAUGGUAGUAAAGAUAAUUAUGCUCAUGGUGGUGGUAGUGAUGGUGGUUGUGGUCUUUGUGGUGGAAAGAUAAAGCAAGUUGCAUAAGGGAAACACAUUGAUAGUGACAUUGUUAUUGAUCUUGAUCUUAGUGGAAAGAUAAAGCUACGGAUGCAAGGCGUAAAGUACUGGAUAAAGGAUACAGUUUUGAUAUCCUAUGUGAAUUUCUACCUGAUGGGAUGCCCCUUGAGAAAUGGAAACGAAUGUGGCUGACAAACAAGCGGGUAAAACAGUUGGAUACAAGAAAGUAUUCUUACAGACCCACGCCACUAAGAAGUGCAAAAAGUGUUACAAGAUCAGGAGAUGAACGAAAAUGAUUUUGAUUCAUUAGAGUUUGUUACCAACCAUUCAAAAUGUUCAUAUGCAGCGUACACGUUACAAGUAAAAAAGUUGUAUGGGGACAAGGAUCGAUGAUUUAGCCGUGUAGUAGAGUCUGCUUCUUGAGUGUAAGGGUCGUAAGAUGUUCGACAUAGGAUCUUCUAGUCCUGUUUUUGUGGUGAU
RNAcentral lists this long non-coding RNA (644 nucleotides) under Helianthus annuus (common sunflower). RNAcentral describes it as "hypothetical non coding rna". Lineage: Eukaryota; Viridiplantae; Streptophyta; Magnoliopsida; Asterales; Asteraceae. The record is from RNAcentral.